GGGCGAUUAGUUCACUGGUAGAAUGCUUCGUUUACAUCGAAGAGAAUGGGGUUCGAUUCCCUAAUCGCCCA
RNAcentral lists this transfer RNA (71 nucleotides) under Patescibacteria group bacterium. Its description in RNAcentral is "tRNA-Val". It matches the Rfam family "tRNA". From Rfam's summary of the family: Transfer RNA (tRNA) molecules are approximately 80 nucleotides in length. RNAcentral also lists the same sequence under 1 other name. The record is from RNAcentral.